AUUGAACGCUGGCGGAAUGCUUUACACAUGCAAGUCGAGCGGCAGCGCGGGGGCAACCCUGGCGGCGAGCGGCGAACGGGUGAGUAACACAUCGGAACGUACCCAGUGGUGGGGGGAUAGCCCGGCGAAAGCCGGAUUAAUACCGCAUACGACCUGAGGGGGAAAGUGGGGGACCGCAAGGCCUCACGCCGCUGGAGCGGCCGAUGUUCGAUUAGCUAGUUGGUGGGGUAAAGGCCUACCAAGGCGACGAUCGAUAGCUGGUCUGAGAGGACGACCAGCCACACUGGAACUGAGACACGGUCCAGACUCCUACGGGAGGCAGCAGUGGGGAAUUUGGACAAUGGGGGCAACCCUGAUCCAGCCAUUCCGCGUGAGUGAAGAAGGCCUCGGGUUGGUUAAAGGACUCUUUCGGUCAGGAACGAAACGGUAGGGGGCGUAAGU
Molecule: ribosomal RNA, 441 nt
Filed under: uncultured bacterium
Lineage: Bacteria
Description: bacterial SSU rRNA
Rfam family: Bacterial small subunit ribosomal RNA
Source: RNAcentral